This is a long non-coding RNA of Gallus gallus (chicken), 2142 nucleotides long. NCBI's taxonomy places the organism in Eukaryota, Metazoa, Chordata, Aves, Galliformes, Phasianidae. The record is from Ensembl.
GGCCGUAUUGCUCCGCUGCGGACGUAACAGCAGUCAGGCGGCUGCAGGAUGCUGCCCUGAGGCGCGUUGAGCGGCUUCCAUAUCAAUGCACUGUUUUCUGGGGCCGGAAAGCGGGACAAACUGCGCUGCGAACAUCACUCGCCAUAAUCUUGGAGAAACCUUACUUAGAGAGAGAUAAAAUAUGGCGGUGGAAGGGUAAGGAGCGGGAUGCUCUGAAGACCUGCUCUCUAGGCCACGCACGGAGGACGUCUGUUCCUCGAGGGCCGUGUGCCCGCCUAGGGGAAAGUCCCCGGACCGCGGGCAGAGAGUGCCGCGCGCCGCCGGCGCCCGCUCCGCCCCGCAGCCCACGCACGCCGCUGAGACGCUCCCGGGCCGAGCGGGUGAGCGCGGGGCGGGCAUUCGUCACGGCCACAGACACGCAGGUAGUGCGGAGGCGCGUCCCGCGAGCCGGGGCCGCAGCACCAACAGAACGGGGCUCACUCUCAGGCCAUCCCUUUUUGGCGAGCCCUACCCUUAUUCGCAUACGGCCGCUCCUCCGCGAAGAGCCGACGGCGACAGCCCAGCCGCGCGGGGCUGCUGCUGCUGGAGCUCGGAGCCGCUCCGUGCGCGAACGCCUGUGGCGGCCUCGGGGCCUCCCGCCGCCUGGGAGCAGCGCGUCCUGCCCGCUGCCUCUGGCGGCUCGGGAUAGUCGGGCGUCCUGCUCUCUUUUCUCCUGGAGCGCUCCACGUGAUCGUGUAGAAAAACAUAUUUAAAAUUCUAUUUAUCUCAUCUCUGCGCAUCGUUCAAAAACGCUAUCAGAAAGCCCAACCCCUUGGAAACAAGCGAAGUAGGGCACGGCUCUGUAGAGCUGUUUGUUGCUGAGAAGCUGUAACGAAAUCCCAGCGUCCUCGUUCUGCUUGCUGGAAAGGAUGCCUCCAAAGCUCUGCGAAGCCGGCACCCACAGAGCUAUCAGCCCUCUGCAGCAGGAGGAACCCGCGCAGGCGAGAUGAAGCUGUGCACAGACACGUGGGUACAUUCGGUCUGGGGACCCCAGAGCUGGUGCUCCAGGAUGGCAACAACUGAUGUGGCCAGGACUGAGUCACUGAGUGAGGGUCCAGGCAGGACACUGAUACGGAGCCAGCCCGAGCACAGCACCGUCAGCACCCAACAUUCAGAGCUACGGCCUUUUGGGAGCGAUGGCAGAGGACUUCAGGUGCAUUUGGGACACACACACAGUGAGAAAACCAAGUGUCACGUCAAUAGUGGGCAACGUUUUCAAGGAGAUGGAAGGAUAAUUUGAAAGUGGCAGUUGAUCGUUUCUGAGCCCGGCUGUAUAUUGCCACGGCGCCGGGAGAUGAUAGCAAUUAGGUACUUUCUUCCUUCAGUAGCAUUGCUGCCAAAUGAAUGGACAGCUGUAACAUCAGAAGCUACGCCCUCUGAAGUCUGAGUUACGGCUGGUGGUUAAGCAACAUUAGGCCCAAGCAGGCUGCAGAGCAGCAUGUUGUAAAUGCUGCUGUAAAUUCACACUUGGGCAAAAGAGGCUUUGCUCCUACUAGGAAAGCAGACCUGACGUCUCCCAGUUUUUCCUAAAACCUCUGGCAUUCUAGAUUUUUACUGCAGGUAAACGGUAUGCACAGAGAUGCUGCCCUUAUUUUGACUACAGUCUUCUAACCCACAUCCUUCCCGAGUCUGUAACAAAUGUCACACUCGUAGCUGGUAACUAUAGGCAUCUAAUUACCCCAUUUCAGCAUCCCGAAUGGAAUUGGUUUUGCUGACAUCUGUGACAACAGACCUGCACUCCCCUUAUAGUCAGUGGAGACGUUUUUAGGGCAAGAUGUGUUUACAGUGGAUUGCUCCCACCUUUAUUUCCCCAUGUGGAAAAGAAAACAUCCACAAUAGACAGUAUUACAAGUUCUUUAAGCCAGGCUUUCGUCAGGUGAUUGGUGUCAUUUCAAAUGCAUGAACUCAAUUAUUUUAUGGUUUUAUUCACCAUCUUUUAAAAUGUUUUUCAUAGCAUAGUAGUAAUUAACUAUGGUACUGGGUGAUACAUCAGCUUGGAGUAACUCUGUGUGUUGAGAAAGUCUUGAAUGCAUCUUGGUAAUUAACACUUAAUUAAUUAACAGCCUACAGUCUAAAUGAAACUACCUGAUAAACUACUCAAAC